GUGUAUGAUGAAGGCCUUCGGGUUGUAAAGUACUUUUGGCAGAGAAGAAAAGGUAUCCCCUAAUACGGGAUACUGCUGACGGUAUCUGCAGAAUAAGCACCGGCUAACUACGUGCCAGCAGCCGCGGUAAUACGUAGGGUGCAAGCGUUAAUCGGAAUUACUGGGCGUAAAGCGUGUGUAGGCGGUUCGGAAAGAAAGAUGUGAAAUCCCAGGGCUCAACCUUGGAACUGCAUUUUUAACUGCCGAGCUAGAGUAUGUCAGAGGGGGGUAGAAUUCCACGUGUAGCAGUGAAAUGCGUAGAUAUGUGGAGGAAUACCGAUGGCGAAGGCAGCCCCCUGGGAUAAUACUGACGCUCAGACACGAGAGCGUGGGGAGCAAACAGGAUUAGAUACCCUGGUAGUCCACGCCCUAAACGAUGUCAACUAGCUGUUGGGGCCGUUAGGCCUUAGUAGCGCAGCUAACGCGUGAAGUUGACCGCCUGGGGAGUACGGUCGCAAGAUUAAAACUCAAAGGAAUUGACGGGGACCCGCACAAGCGGUGGAUGAUGUGGAUUAAUUCGAUGCAACGCGAAAAACCUUACCUACCCUUGACAUGUCUGGAAAGCCGAAGAGAUUUGGCCGUGCUCGCAAGAGAACCGGAACACAGGUGCUGCAUGGCUGUCGUCAGCUCGUGUCGUGAGAUGUUGGGUUAAGUCCCGCAACGAGCGCAACCCUUGUCAUUAGUUGCUACGCAAGAGCACUCUAAUGAGACUGCCGGUGACAAACCGGAGGAAGGUGGGGAUGACGUCAAGUCCUCAUGGCCCUUAUGGGUAGGGCUUCACACGUCAUACAAUGGUCGGGACAGAGGGUCGCCAACCCGCGAGGGGGAGCCAAUCUCAGAAACCCGAUCGUAGUCCGGAUCGCAGUCUGCAACUCGACUGCGUGAAGUCGGAAUCGCUAGUAAUCGCGGAUCAGAAUGUCGCGGUGAAUACGUUCCCGGGUCUUGUACACACCGCCCGUCACACCAUGGGAGUGGGUUUCACCAGAAGUAGGUAGCCUAACCGUAAGGAGGGCGCU
This 1055-nucleotide ribosomal RNA is filed under the name Alcaligenes faecalis. RNAcentral's name for it is "bacterial SSU rRNA". It matches the Rfam family "Bacterial small subunit ribosomal RNA", at positions 401 to 1454 of the family's 1533-position model. Lineage: Bacteria; Pseudomonadati; Pseudomonadota; Betaproteobacteria; Burkholderiales; Alcaligenaceae. The record is from RNAcentral.